GGUAUAGGUUUUCGGACCUAGAGACCGGCGCACGGGUGCGUAACGCGUAUGCAAUCUACCUUUUACAGAGGGAUAGCCCAGAGAAAUUUGGAUUAAUACCUCAUAGUAUUACGACUCGGCAUCGAGAUGUAAUUAAAGUCACAACGGUAAAAGAUGAGCAUGCGUCCCAUUAGCUUGUUGGUAAGGUAACGGCUUACCAAGGCAACGAUGGGUAGGGGUCCUGAGAGGGAGAUCCCCCACACUGGUACUGAGACACGGACCAGACUCCUACGGGAGGCAGCAGUGAGGAAUAUUGGUCAAUGGGCGCAAGCCUGAACCAGCCAUGCCGCGUGCAGGAUGAAGCAUCUAUGGUGUGUAAACUGCUUUUGUACGAGAAGAAACACUCCUUCGUGAAGGAGCUUGACGGUAUCGUAAGAAUAAGGACCGGCUAACUCCGUGCCAGCAGCCGCGGUAAUACGGAGGGUCCAAGCGUUAUCCGGAAUCAUUGGGUUUAAAGGGUCCGUAGGCGGUUUUGUAAGUCAGUGGUGAAAGCCCAUCGCUCAACGGUGGAACGGCCAUUGAUACUGCAAGACUUGAAUUAUUGGGAAGUAACUAG
RNAcentral lists this ribosomal RNA (595 nucleotides) under uncultured Bacteroidota bacterium. RNAcentral's name for it is "bacterial SSU rRNA". It matches the Rfam family "Bacterial small subunit ribosomal RNA", at positions 66 to 664 of the family's 1533-position model. Lineage: Bacteria; Pseudomonadati; Bacteroidota. The record is from RNAcentral.